GACGAACGCUGGCGGCGUGCUUAACACAUGCAAGUCGAACGGAAAGGCCCUGCUUUUGUGGGGUGCCCGAGUGGCGAACGGGUGAGUAACACGUGAGUAACCUGCCCUUGACUUUGGGAUAACUUCAGGAAACUGGGGCUAAUACCGGAUAGGAGCUCCUGCUGCAUGGUGGGGGUUGGAAAGUUUCGGCGGUUGGGGAUGGACUCGCGGCUUAUCAGCUUGUUGGUGGGGUAGUGGCUUACCAAGGCUUUGACGGGUAGCCGGCCUGAGAGGGUGACCGGCCACAUUGGGACUGAGAUACGGCCCAGACUCCUACGGGAGGCAGCAGUGGGGAAUAUUGCACAAUGGGCGGAAGCCUGAUGAAGCAACGCCGCGUGCGGGAUGACGGCCUUCGGGUUGUAAACCGCUUUCGCCUGUGACGAAGCGUGAGUGACGGUAAUGGGUAAAGAAGCACCGGCUAACUACGUG
RNAcentral lists this ribosomal RNA (468 nucleotides) under uncultured bacterium. Its description in RNAcentral is "partial 16S ribosomal RNA". It matches the Rfam family "Bacterial small subunit ribosomal RNA", at positions 28 to 507 of the family's 1533-position model. The record is from RNAcentral.